UAAGAGCUCGUAGGCGGUUUGUCGCGUCUGCUGUGAAAUCCCGAGGCUCAACCUCGGGCUUGCAGUGGGUACGGGCAGACUAGAGUGCGGUAGGGGAGAUAGGAAUUCCUGGUGUAGCGGUGGAAUGCGCAGAUAUCAGGAGGAACACCGAUGGCGAAGGCAGAUCUCUGGGCCGUAACUGACGCUGAGGAGCGAAAGCGUGGGGAGCGAACAGGAUUAGAUACCCUGGUAGUCCACGCCGUAAACGUUGGGCGCUAGAUGUAGGGACCUUUCCACGGUUUCUGUGUCGUAGCUAACGCAUUAAGCGCCCCGCCUGGGGAGUACGGCCGCAAGGCUAAAACUCAAAGGAAUUGACGGGGGCCCGCACAAGCGGCGGAGCAUGCGGAUUAAUUCGAUGCAACGCGAAGAACCUUACCAAGGCUUGACAUACACCGGAAACGGCCAGAGAUGGUUGCCCCCUUGUGGUCGGUGUACAGGUGGUGCAUGGUUGUCGUCAGCUCGUGUCGUGAGAUGUUGGGUUAAGUCCCGCAACGAGCGCAACCCUCGUUCUAUGUUGCCAGCGCGUUAUGGCGGGGACUCAUAGGAGACUGCCGGGGUCAACUCGGAGGAAGGUGGGGAUGACGUCAAAUCAUCAUGCCCCUUAUGUCUUGGGCUUCACGCAUGCUACAAUGGCCGGUACAAAGGGCUGCGAUACCGUAAGGUGGAGCGAAUCCCAAAAAGCCGGUCUCAGUUCGGAUUGAGGUCUGCAACUCGACCUCAUGAAGUCGGAGUCGCUAGUAAUCGCAGAUCAGCAACGCUGCGGUGAAUACGUUCCCGGGCCUUGUACACACCGCCCGUCAAGUCAUGAAAGUCGGUAACACCCGAAGCCGG
This 870-nucleotide ribosomal RNA is filed under the name Curtobacterium sp. Its description in RNAcentral is "bacterial SSU rRNA". It matches the Rfam family "Bacterial small subunit ribosomal RNA", at positions 562 to 1430 of the family's 1533-position model. The record is from RNAcentral. Lineage: Bacteria; Bacillati; Actinomycetota; Actinomycetes; Micrococcales; Microbacteriaceae.